AUAAAGACCAUGACUGAGCAAUCUUCUAUUAAAUAAAUGAUUAAAAGUAAAAUUGUGAGAAGUCCAAAUUCAAAGGGAAAUCAUAUUGCUAAAACUUUGAUUAUUAUUAUUUUAUUGCAGUGGGGCACAUUGUGUGAACAGGACUUAACUACAAUCAUUUGUUUUCCUUAUUUAGUUUUUAGCAUUAAGGGAUGCAGCCCUUGAAGAUGUAUUGGAUAGUCUAGUAUCAUAUCUUCUUUUUAUGCUUGGGUUUGAUUUAUAUUGCUAAUGAAACAGGCAUAUGGAUUUAGAGGCAACGUCAUUCGGCACAGAGCAUUAGGGGAUGCAGCCCGUGAAGAUGCCAUAGACGGGUUGUCAUCUUCAUUGUCUAGGAAGAGAGGUCCUAUGCGAGGUCGAGAAUUAAAUGAGAAGACUUCAUUGAAGAGGGUCAUUACGACUAAUGAAUUUGGGCAACCGAAUGCAGGGGAUAUAAAUCAGGUCACAUUCAAUUCAUGCAUUGGUGUUCUCACCCGCACCCACAUCCCAAUCACCUACAUAGACUUUCACCAGGUGCCUCUGAAGCACCUUCAGAAGGUCAUUGAUAGCUUGGAGUGUAGU
Magnolia sinica is the source of this 597-nucleotide long non-coding RNA. RefSeq lists it as uncharacterized. NCBI's taxonomy places the organism in Eukaryota, Viridiplantae, Streptophyta, Magnoliopsida, Magnoliales, Magnoliaceae. The transcript has 3 exons. The record is from RefSeq and is a predicted model, not a curated record.